AGCAGUCGCGCGGUAAUACGGAGGGUGCAAGCGUUAAUCGGAAUUACUGGGCGUAAAGCGCACGCAGGCGGUUUGUUAAGUCAGAUGUGAAAUCCCCGAGCUUAACUUGGGAACUGCAUUUGAAACUGGCAAGCUAGAGUCUUGUAGAGGGGGGUAGAAUUCCAGGUGUAGCGGUGAAAUGCGUAGAGAUCUGGAGGAAUACCGGUGGCGAAGGCGGCCCCCUGGACAAAGACUGACGCUCAGGUGCGAAAGCGUGGGGAGCAAACAGGAUUAGAUACCCGUGUAGUCCCUGUCUCUUAUACA
Molecule: ribosomal RNA, 303 nt
Filed under: uncultured bacterium
Lineage: Bacteria
Description: partial 16S ribosomal RNA
Rfam family: Bacterial small subunit ribosomal RNA
Source: RNAcentral